GACGUGCAUUUGAUACUGGUAUUCUUGAGUAUGGGAGAGGAAGGUGGAAUUCCUGGUGUAGAGGUGAAAUUCGUAGAUAUCAGGAGGAACAUCCGUGGCGAAGGCGGCUUUCUGGACCAAUACUGACGCUGAGGUGCGAAAGCGUGGGGAGCGAACAGGAUUAGAUACCCUGGUAGUCCACGCCGUAAACGAUGAGAACUAGGUGUAGCGGGUAUUGACCCCUGCUGUGCCGGAGCUAACGCAUUAAGUUCUCCGCCUGGGGAGUACGGCCGCAAGGCUAAAACUCAAAGGAAUUGACGGGGACCCGCACAAGCGGUGGAGCAUGUGGUUUAAUUCGACGCAACGCGAAGAACCUUACCUGGACUUGACAUCCUCUGACAACCCUGGAGACAGGGCCUUCUUAGUUUACUAAGACAGAGUGACAGGUGCUGCAUGGCUGUCGUCAGCUCGUGUCGUGAGAUGUUGGGUUAAGUCCCGCAACGAGCGCAACCCCUGUUUUUAGUUGCCAUUAUUAAGUUAGGCACUCUAGAAAUACCGCCUCGGUUAACGGGGAGGAAGGUGGGGAUGACGUCAAGUCCUCAUGGCCUUUAUGUCCAGGGCUACACACGUGCUACAAUGGUUGGUACAAUGGGUCGCUACUCCGCGAGGAGAUGCUAAUCUCAAAAAGCCAAUCUCAGUUCGGAUUGGAGUCUGCAACUCGACUCCAUGAAGUUGGAAUCGCUAGUAAUCGUGGAUCAGCAUGCCACGGUGAAUACGUUCCCGGGUCUUGUACACACCGCCCGUCACACCACGAAAGUCGGCUGUACCAGAAGUUGCUGGGCUAACCCUUCGGGGAAGCAGGUACCUACGGUGCGGUCGGUAAUUGGGGUGAAGUCGUAACAAGGUAACC
Molecule: ribosomal RNA, 889 nt
Filed under: uncultured bacterium
Lineage: Bacteria
Description: bacterial SSU rRNA
Rfam family: Bacterial small subunit ribosomal RNA
Source: RNAcentral